CCUGAACCAGCCAAGUCGCGUGAAGGAAGACAGUCCUAGGAUUGUAAACUUCUUUUAUACGGGAAUAACGGGCGAUACGAGUAUUGCAUUGAAUGUACCGUAAGAAUAAGCAUCGGCUAACUCCGUGCCAGCAGCCGCGGUAAUACGGAGGAUGCGAGCGUUAUCCGGAUUUAUUGGGUUUAAAGGGUGCGUAGGUUGUUCGGUAAGUCAGCGGUGAAACCUGAGCGCUCAACGUUCAGCCUGCCGUUGAAACUGCCGGGCUUGAGUUCAGUGGCGGCAGGCGGAAUUCGUGGUGUAGCGGUGAAAUGCAUAGAUAUCACGAGGAACUCCGGAUUGCGAAGGCAGCUUGCCAUACUGCGACUGACACUGAAGCACGAAGGCGUGGGUAUCAAACAGGAUUAGAUACCCUGGUAGUCCACGCAGUAAACGAUGAUUACUAGGAGUUGCGAUAUACCGUCAAGCUUCCACAGCGAAAGCGUUAAGUAAUCCACCUGGGGGAGUACGCCGGCAACGGUGAA
This 518-nucleotide ribosomal RNA is filed under the name Porphyromonas sp. oral taxon B47. Its description in RNAcentral is "bacterial SSU rRNA". It matches the Rfam family "Bacterial small subunit ribosomal RNA", at positions 382 to 898 of the family's 1533-position model. Lineage: Bacteria; Pseudomonadati; Bacteroidota; Bacteroidia; Bacteroidales; Porphyromonadaceae. The record is from RNAcentral.